This is a long non-coding RNA of Phacochoerus africanus (Common warthog), 1364 nucleotides long. RefSeq lists it as uncharacterized. The record is from RefSeq and is a predicted model, not a curated record. Lineage: Eukaryota; Metazoa; Chordata; Mammalia; Artiodactyla; Suidae. The transcript is spliced from 9 exons.
ACCCGCACCGGAUCUAUAGAUGUGCCAGUAUCUAGUCAACUUCACCCUCCCUUAUCCACCAGGAAAGGCAGGGUGAUGAAGGUGGAGUGGAUUCUGAACAGAGAGAAAAUGCUCGGCGGGUAGUCGCCUUUUCCAAUCGGAGUGCCAUGCGCAGGCCGGCUGGCCUAUGGGACUCGGCUGCUAGGGCGAGAGGCGGGCCUCUCAGAAGUAGGAAGUAUUCGUGGGUGUCUGGGUGUUCGACUUGGCGGCCUCCGGGAAAAGGGAAGCGCGAGCUGUGGACAUGCUCAUGGCGCGAAGCGGUGAUCAAGGCAGCUGCAAGAAUAUUUGACUUCAUUUGUACGCCUUCUCAGGAGGAUAACUGUUGACCUCCAAAAGUGGAAGUGGCCGGAGAGGUUGAACUUCUCAGAUGUUACCCGCGGCUCCUCGUCUAGGGCCACACCAGAGCCGAGCCAGUAUCUGUACCUGGAUUUGAAUGCAGAAGAUUGGCCCACAGCCACGAGGACCAUCCAGUACCAGGGAUCUCAGGGGCAGCUGCUGGGACGUGUAAGCUGGAGAAGAUGCCUGCCAAUCAGUGGUGAUGGAGAGGUGCACCUUGAAGGUUGCAGUUUGAGUCCCUGAUGCCCCUGUGGGUACCAGGGACUCUGUCCUGCAGAGGGUGCCAGCGCUCCUCAUUUCUUGAAGCACCUGAGCAGGUGGUCAGCUGUGCUGUGAAAUUUCCACAGUGGUUACUUGGAGACAAAAGAGAGGACCCCUAUCCAGAUGAGGAACAUGAGGCCAGCUUACUGGUCCCAGGACCUCCAGGUGAGGAUGGAGAUGGUCAAGAGGGGAGCCGCCCUGCCCCGGGAUGGUGAGAACUAGACUCGGAGUAAGAGGAAGCUGCCUCUACUUAGUCUGCUCUGUACAAAGGGGAAUCAGCUCUGUUUCAAAGAAGACUUUGAAAAACGGCUUUUCCUAGUACUCUCCUCCCGUUGAUCACCUCCUGAUGGCUGACGGAGACCCUGCCUGUUUCCCAUACGUGCGUACUCCAGAGCAGGUGGGAAGCAAGCGCCGCCCCAGCUUCCCUUCUGCCUGGCGGAGGACUCCCUUUUGGAGUCAGAAGAUCCAGAGUGCCAGGUCUGGGCAUCCUCUGUUCCUCGCAGGCAUCUGACCCCUCAUUCCCUUGCUGAACAAACUCAGAAGCUCACUGGAGAGGUUGUACCACCCCUACAGGCAGCACCCACUCCUGUGCCAUCUUAGAGAGAUGGCCAGCUAGCCCCAGGAGAUGGUCCUUCUACCUUAUUGAUGCAUGCUGCCUGUCAGUUGCCUUUUUCUCUGAACAUACUUUAUUUUUUAUUUUGAUUUUUUUAUUUUGCUUUUUAGGGCCG